UCGGAGUCCCGCGUCGGCCAGUGUGAGAAGCAGCGAGUAGGCGACGCCGCUGCAACUGUGGCGCGUCCGAUCUCCGGGCCGUGCGUGGCCUCACUGCCGGGAACCGCGCCCCAGUUAUUUUCUCCAGAAAGAAGAAAACAUUGAUACCUUGCAUCCUGGAAGUUCAUUUAGGAAUCUGAAAUCAGGGACUUCUUUAUAAUUUGGACAUGGCUAAUCGAGGAGCAACAAGACCCAACGGGCCAAAUACUGGAAAUAAAAUAUGCCAGUUCAAACUGGUACUUCUAGGAGAGUCUGCUGUUGGCAAAUCAAGUCUGGUGCUUCGCUUUGUGAAAGGCCAAUUUCAUGAGUUUCAAGAGAGUACCAUUGGGGGAAGCACAGUCCUAUGCAGAUGACAACAGCUUAUUAUUUAUGGAGACAUCAGCUAAGACACCAAUGAAUGUAAAUGAAAUAUUUAUGGCAAUAGCUAAAAAGCUGCCAAAGAACGAACCACAAAAUCCAGGCGCAAACUCAGCCAGAGGACGAGGAGUAGACCUUACUGAGCCUGCACAGCCAGCCAGAAGCCAGUGUUGUAGUAACUGAACUCCAGUGUCAACUUCCUAAAUGGCAAAAACCAUGGAAUUGGGAGCAUUUAGCCGGCCCAGUGUGACUUCCAAAAAGAGACUAUGGUAGAAUCAAGUUUCUAAUACUGAAUUAUUUUGAGUGUUUUGAACUUAAUUUUUAAUAACAUGCAUGUGUUCCUCCAGCAGUAGAAAGGAAAAUGAGAACUGUGUAUACACUUGUUCCAUGGGAAAUUGCAGGGGAACAGUUCAUCUCCAGUGGGCAUGGACCCACUCUUAACCCACCCAGUCUCCAAACUGGGAUGAUAGUCAGGUAUGGAAGAUUCAAAAUUACUAAUGUAUGCUUUAGAAAAACAUUUUUAGAAGACUAAAAAUAUUUAUGCUUAGCAACAAAAGCCAAGCAAAUGGUAAUUUUCUUUGAUUGUCUUAAAAAGCCUACAUUUCACAUAUUAAUAAAGUAAUCCCAAGAAAACAGUCCUAUAUCUCCAGAAAGAAGGAAUAUUGGUGGCAUCUUAAUUUUAUUCAGUCAUGUUACUUCUUAAAAUUUAAUUGAAGAAAAAAAAGUCAUGUAACCCCAUCCUGUUUUAGGAAUAUAAAAACUGAUAAGUGCAUUUUAAUGGAUAGUGGUCCUUUCAUAGGAGCUUCUUUUUAAGACAAAGUGGAAACAAACCAGGUAUCUGCUUUCUAUUUAAUCACUGUUGGCUAUUACAUAGAGGUCUGUCUAGAACAGGGAGGGGGCUCUGCUUCCCUUUGGACAUGAUUAGUCAGUGCACUAACCAUUAUGUACAUUCAAACUUGAUUAUUUUAAAUAUUCAGCUGUACUGUAAAUAGAGUACUGCAUUGUAGUCUCCAUAUGUUUAUUAUUUCCUGUAAUAUUUAAGAAUUGCCUAAACAUACAAAAUGUACAGUUACUAAAACAGCUAAUUAUUUCUUUCUCCCCCUAUGAAAGGAAGGGGCUUUGCUGUUCUUACAUGCUAGAACCAUAAUAAACACCGUACUUGCAAUUUGU
RNAcentral lists this long non-coding RNA (1566 nucleotides) under Rattus norvegicus (Norway rat). Its description in RNAcentral is "long non-coding RNA NONRATT009426". Lineage: Eukaryota; Metazoa; Chordata; Mammalia; Rodentia; Muridae. The record is from RNAcentral.